This 139-nucleotide transfer RNA is filed under the name Friedmanniomyces endolithicus. Its description in RNAcentral is "tRNA-Leu". The record is from RNAcentral. Lineage: Eukaryota; Fungi; Ascomycota; Dothideomycetes; Mycosphaerellales; Teratosphaeriaceae.
GGUUAGAUGGCCGAGUGGUUAUGGCGUGUGACUCAAGCUUCCAGCUUAAUCGGCUCUGUCGAUUAGUAUUCUCAUGGGCUUUGCCCGCGGGGGUUCGAAGUGAGCAUCCAUCCCACACACAUGUCAACAAUGUUGAUCG